This 90-nucleotide transfer RNA is filed under the name Chloroflexota bacterium. RNAcentral's name for it is "tRNA-Ser". It matches the Rfam family "tRNA". Rfam says of the family: Transfer RNA (tRNA) molecules are approximately 80 nucleotides in length. Their secondary structure includes four short double-helical elements and three loops (D, anti-codon, and T loops). Further hydrogen bonds mediate the characteristic L-shaped molecular structure. tRNAs have two regions of fundamental functional importance: the anti-codon, which is responsible for specific mRNA codon recognition, and the 3' end, to which the tRNAs corresponding amino acid is attached (by aminoacyl-tRNA synthetases). tRNAs cope with the degeneracy of the genetic code in two manners: having more than one tRNA (with a specific anti-codon) for a particular amino acid; and 'wobble' base-pairing, i.e. permitting non-standard base-pairing at the 3rd anti-codon position. The record is from RNAcentral. Lineage: Bacteria; Bacillati; Chloroflexota. RNAcentral also lists the same sequence under 1 other name.
GGAGGGGUGGCAGAGCGGUUUAAUGCACUGGUCUUGAAAACCAGAGUCUCCGCAAGGUGACCGCAGGUUCGAAUCCUGUCCCCUCCGCCA